GACGAACGCUGGCGGCGUGCCUAAUACAUGCAAGUUGAGCGCUGAAGGUUGGUACUUGUACCAACUGGAUGAGCAGCGAACGGGUGAGUAACGCGUGGGGAAUCUGCCUUUGAGCGGGGGACAACGUUUGGAAACGAAUGCUAAUACCGCAUAAAAACUUUAAACACAAGUUUUAAGUUUGAAAGAUGCAAUUGCAUCACUCAAAGAUGAUCCCGCGUUGUAUUAGCUAGUUGGUGAGGUAAAGGCUCACCAAGGCGAUGAUACAUAGCCGACCUGAGAGGGUGAUCGGCCACAUUGGGACUGAGACACGGCCCAAACUCCUACGGGAGGCAGCAGUAGGGAAUCUUCGGCAAUGGACGAAAGUCUGACCGAGCAACGCCGCGUGAGUGAAGGAGGUUUUCGGAUCGUAAAACUCUGUUGGUAGAGAAGAACGUUGGUGAGAGUGGAAAGCUCAUCAAGUGACGGUAACUACCCAGAAAGGGACGGCUAACUACGUG
RNAcentral lists this ribosomal RNA (497 nucleotides) under uncultured bacterium. Its description in RNAcentral is "partial 16S ribosomal RNA". It matches the Rfam family "Bacterial small subunit ribosomal RNA", at positions 28 to 507 of the family's 1533-position model. The record is from RNAcentral.